AGUGAACGCUGGCGGUAGGCCUAACACAUGCCAGUCGAACGGCAGCACAGUAAGAGCUUGCUCUUACGGGUGGCGAGUGGCGGACGGGUGAGGAAUACAUCGGAAUCUACUUUUUCGUGGGGGAUAACGUAGGGAAACUUACGCUAAUGCCGCAUACGACCUACGGGUGAAAUCAGAGGAUCUUCGGACCUUGCGCGAUUGAAUGAGCCGAUGUCGGAUUAGCUAGUUGGCGGGGUAAAGGCCCACCAAGGCGACGAUCCGUAGCUGGUCUGAGAGGAUGAUCAGCCACACUGGAACUGAGACACGGUCCAGACUCCUACGGGAGGCAGCAGUGGGGAAUAUUGGACAAUGGGCGCAAGCCUGAUCCAGCCAUACCGCGUGGGUGAAGAAGGCCUUCGGGUUGUAAAGCCCUUUUGUUGGGAAAGAAAAGCAGCAGGUUAAUACCCCGCUGUUCUGACGGUACCCAAAGAAUAAGCACCGGCUAACUUCGUG
RNAcentral lists this ribosomal RNA (492 nucleotides) under uncultured bacterium. RNAcentral's name for it is "partial 16S ribosomal RNA". It matches the Rfam family "Bacterial small subunit ribosomal RNA", at positions 29 to 507 of the family's 1533-position model. The record is from RNAcentral.